UACAGUCGGCGCCGUUCUUAUUCUCGUUCCCGUUCCCCUUAUAGUAGGUCUCCAGAUGACCGCGGCUAUCGGAGGUGUGACCGUUCUUACUCUCCAUAUGACUCCAGAUAUGAUGACCGUUACCAUCGGAGGCGUGAUCGAUCAUACUCUCCAUAUGACUCCAAAUACGAUGACUGUUACUAUCGGAGGCGUGACCGUUCAUACUCUCCAUCUGAGUCAUCGGAUGGCCGAUACUAUGGAAGGCACCGUUAUCGUUCAAUUUCCCGAAGUCCUACACCGCCGCGAAGGAGAAGCUCUAGGAGGAGCUAUUC
Molecule: long non-coding RNA, 311 nt
Filed under: Citrus x clementina
Lineage: Eukaryota; Viridiplantae; Streptophyta; Magnoliopsida; Sapindales; Rutaceae
Description: Citrus clementina (C. clementina) long non-coding RNA (CCLE_LNC001174)
Source: RNAcentral